UGAAGCCUUGGCUAUAAGGGAAAACAAUUCAAAACAUUCUUACUAAUGCAAAUCAAUAGUUAUGUACAUUUUUCUACAUGUUUUGAUGAUUUUCCAACCCAAAAAGGUCACUUGUGCCAUCCUGCAAAGCAGUUCCUGUCUGCAGUGACACAGAGGCGUGUCAGUGGUAGUAGUAGGAGUAAACAGGAGGAGUGAGAGGUCCUGUUUUCAGGACCUCUCACGCGGUGCUGUUUUUUUCGACCAGUCGACAGCACAGCGUCUGAUUGGUCUGUGACAAAGCCUCUGAUUGGUCACGGUUACGAUCACACGGAAGCCCUGCCCGGAGCGGCGCAAGUGUUAGCUUCCUGUCGAAACAAACCAGAUAUCUGGAGAUGGACUUGACCGACGUUGCCAUCCAUAGAGCUGCACCGUGGGAAUAAACGGACUGAAAUACUGCAUCGACAAACCCGGCGUCUUCACACCAACGCUUUACAGUGUGCGGAGUCUGUGAAACUCACCUGAAGAUCAGAUGGACUGAUGGAGAAAGAGAGAUGAUGGAGAAACUCGGUGUGCUGCCGAGGAGAGGUCCUCACUCUCUCUAACGGGAACGUGAGGACCCAGUGAUCCAGGACAAACUCGGAGGAAAGCUGCAGAGUAGUUAAGAAAUUCAAGCAGCAAUCAAGUUGGGCAGGAGGAGCCAGAGUCACAGCAGAAUGUCAUCAUUCUUCGAACUGAUAAAUGAGUCUACAGGAAACCAGAGGAACCUCACUGUCUUGUUAUCAUAUUUUAGACAAAACCUGCUAAUUUAUCUCGAUUAGAAACAGGUCAUGUACGUGAGACUGUAUCAAACACUGCAUAAAUAGCCCUCUCUUACUGGUAGACAUAUUUAGAUUCUUGAUGUGUCCCUCUAAAUAAAUAUCUCUUAUAUACUGGUUUGUAAGCACACAUUAAGCUGGUAAAACUAAAUCAUAUAAGUAUCAUCAGUUUCACUUGCCCUUUGGUUGCUAUUGCUCACUGCUCCAAAGAUAUCUCCAUUUCCUUGUGUGGAAUCAAUAACCUUUAUCUUAUCUUGAAAAAAGACGUUUGAUCUAUAUUUGAUCAUUUUCAAUUACUGAGCAACAACAAAGAAAAGAGAAAGGGAAUACAGAAAAUUCUUGCUUGUUCACCUGACAAACUUGCGAGCCGGGUUGGACGCCGGCUUGGGAUCAGGAUCUUUCCUCUGCGAUUCGCCG
Molecule: long non-coding RNA, 1211 nt
Organism: Scophthalmus maximus (turbot)
Lineage: Eukaryota; Metazoa; Chordata; Actinopteri; Pleuronectiformes; Scophthalmidae
Exons: 5
Source: RefSeq, a predicted model, not a curated record